Molecule: transfer RNA, 77 nt
Filed under: Devosia sp.
Lineage: Bacteria; Pseudomonadati; Pseudomonadota; Alphaproteobacteria; Hyphomicrobiales; Devosiaceae
Also listed under: 5 other names
Description: tRNA-Pro
Rfam family: tRNA
About the family: Transfer RNA (tRNA) molecules are approximately 80 nucleotides in length. Their secondary structure includes four short double-helical elements and three loops (D, anti-codon, and T loops).
Source: RNAcentral
CGGAGUGUAGCUCAGUCUGGUAGAGCACCGGUUUUGGGAACCGGGGGUCCAAAGUUCGAAUCUUUGUACUCCGACCA